AGGCGUCAAUGUGGUCGGGGGUCGCCGGACCUUUCAGCCUUGAGAUUCAAACCUUAAGAAACUGGACAGGAGGGUGCUGUUUUAAAGAAGUGUGCAGGAUGCUUGAAUCAGGUCAACAGGUCAAGGAAUAAACUACUAAUUCUUUACUAAACUACUAAUAUUAGUAAAGAAAGGUUGUGACUUAAGCAGGGUCACACAGAAAACACUUGGUGUGUUUAGAUCUGAAUAUGGCUCAUAACUAUUGCAUUAUACGCUCAGGAGAAGAGCACGUCUCUUCAAGGAUUUAAUCCUCGUUCUCUGCUUGUCAAAUAAUCCUGCCUUCUCCUACCUUUAAAGACUAAAACUGUCAUUAUCUUCAUUUCUCACGACAUGGGUCCUAAACAUGCCGCAAACCAACAUUAAUAGUUCCACUUCAACUUUCUGUGUCCAGGGAUUGGGUGAGAAAUUUUGAUUAUGACAGAGAAAGUGAGAGAAGCUGACCGGGACCAUUUGCAGCUCCUUCCAGAUGGGACAGCCUCUGCCAUCACUGCCGUCCCCCUCUAUUCUGUUGCUGUGGUAAACAGCCAACUGGAUAAAAUUGAGGGGAGGAAAGGGUAUAUUUCCUGUGACGUUCGAAGUGUUGAUGAGAAGACCCUCUACCCGGAGGCAACAGAGGAUCUGCAAUGGAAGUGGUAAUGAACCAUGAAAUGACCAAGUGGUGGAGGACCUUGUUACCCAGGAGAGCUAAUACUUUAUUGUGAGAGUCAAAAGUUGAUUCUUAAUUUGGCUGAAAGAUGAGAGUGUGUGAAUAGCCUGAAGGUAUAAAUAUGAAUCAAAGUGCUUUUCUUUGUAUAUACAUUUCUGCUUAGAGAAA
This 853-nucleotide long non-coding RNA is filed under the name Sus scrofa (pig). RNAcentral describes it as "lncRNA (ENSSSCG00015074968.1)". The record is from RNAcentral. Lineage: Eukaryota; Metazoa; Chordata; Mammalia; Artiodactyla; Suidae.